Molecule: ribosomal RNA, 497 nt
Filed under: uncultured bacterium
Lineage: Bacteria
Description: partial 16S ribosomal RNA
Rfam family: Bacterial small subunit ribosomal RNA
Source: RNAcentral
GACGAACGCUGGCGGCGUGCCUAAUACAUGCAAGUUGAGCGAUGAAGAUUGGUGCUUGCACCAAUUUGAAGAGCAGCGAACGGGUGAGUAACGCGUGGGGAAUCUGCCUUUGAGCGGGGGACAACAUUUGGAAACGAAUGCUAAUACCGCAUAAUAACUUUAAACAUAAGUUUUAAGUUUGAAAGAUGCAAUUGCAUCACUCAAAGAUGAUCCCGCGUUGUAUUAGCUAGUUGGUGAGGUAAAGGCUCACCAAGGCGAUGAUACAUAGCCGACCUGAGAGGGUGAUCGGCCACAUUGGGACUGAGACACGGCCCAAACGCCUACGGGAGGCAGCAGUAGGGAAUCUUCGGCAAUGGACGAAAGUCUGGCCGAGCAACGCCGCGUGAGUGAAGAAGGUUUUCGGAUCGUAAAACUCUGUUGGUAGAGAAGAACGUUGGUGAGAGUGGAAAGCUCAUCAAGUGACGGUAACUACCCAGAAAGGGACGGCUAACUACGUG